Molecule: ribosomal RNA, 396 nt
Filed under: uncultured bacterium
Lineage: Bacteria
Description: bacterial SSU rRNA
Rfam family: Bacterial small subunit ribosomal RNA
Source: RNAcentral
UCUUCCACAAUGGGCGAAAGCCUGAUGGAGCAACGCCGCGUGAGUGAAGAAGUAUUUCGGUAUGUAAAGCUCUAUCAGCAGGGAAGAAGAAAAGGACGGUACCUGACUAAGAAGCCCCGGCUAACUACGUGCCAGCAGCCGCGGUAAUACGUAGGGGGCAAGCGUUAUCCGGAUUUACUGGGUGUAAAGGGAGCGUAGACGGUAGUGCAAGUCUGAAGUGAAAGGCGGGGGCCCAACCCCCGGACUGCUUUGGAAACUGUGCUGCUAGAGUGCAGGAGAGGUAAGUGGAAUUCCUAGUGUAGCGGUGAAAUGCGUAGAUAUUAGGAGGAACACCAGUGGCGAAGGCGGCUUACUGGACUGUAACUGACGUUGAGGCUCGAAAGCGUGGGGAGCAAA